This 107-nucleotide small nuclear RNA is filed under the name Tupaia belangeri chinensis (Chinese tree shrew). The record is from RNAcentral. Lineage: Eukaryota; Metazoa; Chordata; Mammalia; Scandentia; Tupaiidae.
GUGCUCGCUUCAGCAGCACAUAUACUAAAACUGAAAUGAUACAGAGAAGAUUAGCAUGGCCCCUGGGCAAGGAUGACAUGCAAAUUUAUGAAGCAUUCCAUAUUUUA